Molecule: ribosomal RNA, 238 nt
Filed under: uncultured bacterium
Lineage: Bacteria
Description: partial 16S ribosomal RNA
Rfam family: Bacterial small subunit ribosomal RNA
Source: RNAcentral
CGGAACGGGUGGAGUAACGCGUGAAUAACCUGACUCAAAGAGGGGGAGUAACAACGGGAAACUGUUGCUAAUACCGCAUGAGACCACAACACCGCAUGAUGAAGGGGUCAAAGAUUUAUCGCUUUGAGAGGGGUUCGCGUCCCAUUAGGUAGUUGGAGGGGUAACGGCCCACCAAGCCAACGAUGGGUAGCCGAGCUGAGAGGCUGAUCGGCCACACUGGAACUGAGACACGGUCCAG